UAUUUUGUUUAAGCUGAAUAAUUUUCAAAAAUUUUGCUUUUAAUGGUAUACUUUUAUUAGUAUGUUCUGGACAUAACUUUAAAUGUGGAAAGUAACUAUUUGCCUUCUCAGGAUGAUGACUGUGAAAACGUCACUGACCAGGUACAGGAGACUGAUGUUCAGCCUUCCUGUCCUGUUUGUGGUGGUCAKUAUCCUGCAGAUGAUUUAAUCUUACAUGCCAGUACAUGUGGAGAUCAGUCUUCAGCUUCAAACUGCCCAUGUCUACAAUCUGGCAAUAUGUUUUAGUUUCUUUACAAUACAUUGUAUAGGGUUACGGUUUCUGCUGUUCAUGAAAUGUUACUUCCAAACUAAACUUCAUUCAUUUUUAUACUGAUCUCUUUAAAUAUAUAUUUUUAUUUUUUCUCACCCUUA
Molecule: long non-coding RNA, 411 nt
Organism: Austrofundulus limnaeus
Lineage: Eukaryota; Metazoa; Chordata; Actinopteri; Cyprinodontiformes; Rivulidae
Exons: 3
Source: RefSeq, a predicted model, not a curated record